UAACACAUGGGUGACCUACCCCACAGUGAGGAAUACCGGCGAGAAAUCGCCGACAAGACCGCAUAGGCUCUGGUGGGUGGAACCACGAGAGCAAAGUCGCAAGACGCUGAGGGAUGGGCCUGUGGCCGAUUAGCUGGUUGGUGGGGUAAGAGCCUACCAAGGCGACGAUCGGUAGCUGGUCUGAGAGGACGAACAGCCACACUGGGAUUGAGAACGGCCCAG
This 222-nucleotide ribosomal RNA is filed under the name uncultured bacterium. Its description in RNAcentral is "partial 16S ribosomal RNA". It matches the Rfam family "Bacterial small subunit ribosomal RNA", at positions 111 to 334 of the family's 1533-position model. The record is from RNAcentral.